UACGUAGGGCGCAAGCGUUGUCCGGAAUUAUUGGGCGUAAAGAGCUCGUAGGCGGUCUGUCGCGUCCGUUGUGAAAACUCGAGGCUCAACCUCGGGCUUGCAGUGGAUACGGGCAGACUAGAGUGCGGUAGGGGAGACUGGAAUUCCUGGUGUAGCGGUGAAAUGCGCAGAUAUCAGGAGGAACACCGGUGGCGAAGGCGGUUCUCUGGGAAUGUCCUGACGCUGAGGAGCGAAAGUGUGGGGAGCGAACAGG
RNAcentral lists this ribosomal RNA (253 nucleotides) under uncultured bacterium. RNAcentral's name for it is "partial 16S ribosomal RNA". It matches the Rfam family "Bacterial small subunit ribosomal RNA", at positions 524 to 776 of the family's 1533-position model. The record is from RNAcentral.